UGGCGGGCGGGUGAGUAAUGUCUGGGAAACUGCCCGAUGGAGGGGAUAACUACUGGAAACGGUAGCUAAUACCGCAUAACGUCGCAAGACCAAAGAGGGGGACCUUUGGGCCUCUUGCCAUCGGAUGUGCCCAGAUGGGAUUAGCUAGUAGGUGGGGUAACGGCUCACCUAGGCGACGAUCCCUAGCUGGUCUGAGAGGAUGACCAGCCACACUGGAACUGAGACACGGUCCAG
This 234-nucleotide ribosomal RNA is filed under the name uncultured bacterium. RNAcentral describes it as "partial 16S ribosomal RNA". It matches the Rfam family "Bacterial small subunit ribosomal RNA", at positions 96 to 334 of the family's 1533-position model. The record is from RNAcentral.